CCUACGGGAGGCAGCAGUGGGGAAUAUUGGGCAAUGGACGCAAGUCUGACCCAGCAACGCCGCGUGAAGGAAGAAGGCUUUCGGGUUGUAAACUUCUUUUAAGGGGGAAGAGCAGAAGACGGUACCCCUUGAAUAAGCCACGGCUAACUACGUGCCAGCAGCCGCGGUAAUACGUAGGUGGCAAGCGUUGUCCGGAUUUACUGGGUGGAAAGGGCGUGCAGCCGGAGAGACAAGUCAGAUGUGAAAUCCACGGGCUCAACUCGUGAACUGCAUUUGAAACUGUGUCCCUUGAGUGUCGGAGAGGUAAUCGGAAUUCCUUGUGUAGCGGUGAAAUGCGUAGAUAUAAGGAAGAACACCAGUGGCGAAGGCGGAUUACUGGACGAUAACUGACGGUGAGGCGCGAAAGCGUGGGGAGCAAACAGGAUUAGAUACCCUUGUAGUC
Molecule: ribosomal RNA, 442 nt
Filed under: uncultured bacterium
Lineage: Bacteria
Description: partial 16S ribosomal RNA
Rfam family: Bacterial small subunit ribosomal RNA
Source: RNAcentral